UGGUUGUAGAUGUGUGGUCUUAUAUCUGAGAUCUCUACUCUGUUCUAUUGGUCUAUGUGUCAAAACAGACCUUUUCUACACAGCAUCCUUGACAAAAAGGUCCAGCCUCCACUGCCACCGCCCCACCCCGCCCCCACAGUGACAGGAGCAAGCUCACUUCAUCCCUCAGCACCAUGUUCCUGAGGACUAGCUCUGAAGCUUCUGUCUUGUGUUGAGUUGAAAUAGUUCUCCCUAAAGCUCUCCUUGUGGGUCCAGUAUUGCCUUCUGAAGCCACACAGAAGCAUCCUGUUUCCCUUCCAUACAAUAGCCCUUUAGGUAUCUGUAGAUAAGCGGGCAACUCCUGGAGACUUCCCUGCUUCAGAAGAAAUACUUGCAGCGCCUUCUAUCAUUCCUUGCAUGAUAUAUGUGUCAGCAAGACCUGAGUUGCAAGCAGUAGAAACCCAUGCUAGCUGACUCAGGUAGAAAAGACAUUUCGUUAGAAGGAAAUGGGAGUGGUCACAGGAUUGGCAGAACAGUUGGAAAUCCAGCUGGAGAAAUAGACAGGAACAAGCCAGAAGCACACUGAAACCUAUCCAAAAGCAUCCCAGGAGGGCACACUGAGUGCCGCAUGGAGCCUGCACCACCAUGGGGAGGAAGCAGCCACCGCCUUCCUGAAUCCCCACCAGGCAGAAACAUCUCUCCCGUCUUUGAACUUCACCACGCCGUGCAUCUUCCUCUGGGUGUGCAAUCGUCACCUGCGUACAUGAUUGAUUCUGCCCCCAACACUAGACUCAGGCAGAAAGAACUCAAAGCUCAGAUGGUCAGGGUCCUGUUGGUUCAUCAAGCUCAGCCUGCCUGGAGGCAGCCACUGUGUUGUUCCCUCUCUUCGUCCUCCCUCUGCACUCUCUCUUGCCACGGGACAUUUGCACAAGCAGUUCCCUCUAACUGGAACACUAAGAAAUAUGGAAGUAAAAGGGGUUGGGAGAAAAGACAGGAGUCACAGGUGACUGUGUGGGAUGAGGAGAGUCGUGAAAACUUUUUUUUUUUUUUUUUGAGAUGGAGUCUCGCUUUGUCACCCAGGCUGGAGUGCCAGUGGUGCCAA
RNAcentral lists this long non-coding RNA (1081 nucleotides) under Homo sapiens (human). Its description in RNAcentral is "HSALNT0317178". Lineage: Eukaryota; Metazoa; Chordata; Mammalia; Primates; Hominidae. The record is from RNAcentral.